This 447-nucleotide ribosomal RNA is filed under the name uncultured bacterium. RNAcentral describes it as "SSU rRNA". It matches the Rfam family "Bacterial small subunit ribosomal RNA", at positions 26 to 518 of the family's 1533-position model. The record is from RNAcentral.
AGGACGAACGCUGGCGGCGUGCUUAACACAUGCAAGUCGCACGGGCACUUCGGUGUCAGUGGCGGACGGGUGAGUAACGCGUAGGUAUCUAUCCUUGGGUGGGGGACAACUGUGGGAAACUACAGCUAAUACCGCAUGAUAACUGAGGUUUAAAGGCGCAAGUCGCCUGAGGAGGAGCCUGCGUACGAUUAGCUAGUUGGUGGGGUAAAGGCCUACCAAGGCGACGAUCGUUAGCUGGUCUGAGAGGAUGAUCAGCCACAUUGGGACUGAGACACGGCCCAAACUCCUACGGGAGGCAGCAGUGGGAAUAUUGGACAAUGGGCGCAAGCCUGAUCCAGCAAUGCCGCGUGUGUGAAGAAGGUCUUCGGAUUGUAAAGCACUUUCGACGGGGACGAUGAUGACGGUACCCGUAGAAGAAGCCCCGGCUAACUUCGUGCCAGCAGCCGC